This 429-nucleotide ribosomal RNA is filed under the name Verrucomicrobiota bacterium. RNAcentral describes it as "Verrucomicrobia bacterium partial 16S ribosomal RNA". It matches the Rfam family "Bacterial small subunit ribosomal RNA", at positions 355 to 776 of the family's 1533-position model. The record is from RNAcentral. Lineage: Bacteria; Pseudomonadati; Verrucomicrobiota.
UAGGGAAUCUUCCGCAAUGGACGAAAGUCUGACGGAGCAACGCCGCGUGAGUGAAGAAGGAUUUCGGUUCGUAAAACUCUGUUGUUAGGGAAGAAAAAAUGUAUAGUAACUAUAUACAAAAGAGACGGUACCUAACCAGAAAGCCACGGCUAACUACGUGCCAGCAGCCGCGGUAAUACGUAGGUGGCAAGCGUUGUCCGGAAUUAUUGGGCGUAAAGCGCGCGCAGGUGGUUUAGAAAGUCUGAUGUGAAAGCCCACGGCUCAACCGUGGAGGGUCAUUGGAAACUAAUAAACUUGAGUGCAGGAGAGAAAAGUGGAAUUCCUAGUGUAACGGUGAAAUGCGUAGAGAUUAGGAGGAACACCGGUGGCGAAAGCGGCUUUUUGGCCUGCAACUGACACUGAGGCGCGAAAGCGUGGGGAGCAAACAGG